This 450-nucleotide ribosomal RNA is filed under the name uncultured bacterium. RNAcentral describes it as "partial 16S ribosomal RNA". It matches the Rfam family "Bacterial small subunit ribosomal RNA", at positions 354 to 796 of the family's 1533-position model. The record is from RNAcentral.
GUGGGGAAUAUUGGACAAUGGGCGAAAGCCUGAUCCAGCCAUGCCGCGUGUGUGAAGAAGGUCUUCGGAUUGUAAAGCACUUUAAGUUGGGAGGAAGGGCAGUAAGUUAAUACCUUGCUGUUUUGACGUUACCAACAGAAUAAGCACCGGCUAACUUCGUGCCAGCAGCCGCGGUAAUACGAAGGGUGCAAGCGUUAAUCGGAAUUACUGGGCGUCAAGCGCGCGUAGGUGGUUCAGCAAGUUGAAGGUGAAAUCCCCGGGCUCAACCUGGGAACUGCCUCCAAAACUACUGAGCUAGAGUACGGUAGAGGGUAGUGGAAUUUCCUGUGUAGCGGUGAAAUGCGUAGAUAUAGGAAGGAACACCAGUGGCGAAGGCGACUACCUGGACUGAUACUGACACUGAGGUGCGAAAGCGUGGGGAGCAAACAGGAUUAGAUACCCCUGUAGUCC